Molecule: long non-coding RNA, 665 nt
Organism: Anguilla rostrata (American eel)
Lineage: Eukaryota; Metazoa; Chordata; Actinopteri; Anguilliformes; Anguillidae
Exons: 2
Source: RefSeq, a predicted model, not a curated record
GUGCUUACAAUCUGGAGACGGCAGAAGAUGAUAACCAGAUGAGAUACCUCCAGCUGGACCAGUCUCUCACAGUCUACCUACAGUAGAACAUUCCCUCAUCUGAGGAGAGUGACAGAGCUGACGUGACAUGUUGUCUUCAGACAUUGCUGAAGCAAUUAAAAUUGAGCACCUUACUUUUGGACACGAUGUCACUGCUGGACACUGCGGGUGAAGAAGGUGCAUAGCUUGAACGAAUGGACAGUACAUAAAAAUAUAUGCCAUGAAUGUUUCUAUGUAUAAAAGUGUCUUCCAAGCGACUGAAUAUAACAGCCUGUUGGUACAGAUGUAAUGGUUAGCAUGUUGGCGUGGGAUGGGGAGGCGGCAGCCUACCUGCUUGCUGAAACACUGAUCCUCGGUGCCCAGGGUCUUUCUGCAGCUGGAACUCUCGAAGAGUGAACACUGAGGCCGCUAGAGGAAGAAAAAUCACCAUCAUCAUCAUCAUUGUGCACAGAUACAGAUACAGGAAACACACACACCAUCAUCAUCACCAUCAUUUUGCCCAGAUACAAGAUAUGCACAAAUACAUCAUCAUCAUCAUCACCCAUCAUCCAUCACAUUCCUAUCAUUGCCAUGACGAUGUGAUUGAGGCUGUUUCACUCUGACUGAGGACACUGUUUUUUUUGCAG